AUUGAACGCUGGCGGCAGGCUUAACACAUGCAAGUCGAACGGUAGCAGGAGGAAGCUUGCUUUCUUGCUGACGAGUGGCGGACGGGUGAGUAAUGCUUGGGAAUCUGGCUUAUGGAGGGGGAUAACUACGGGAAACUGUAGCUAAUACCGCGUAGAAUCGGAAGAUGAAAGUGCGGGACCGCAAGGCCGCAUGCCAUGAGAUGAGCCCAAGUGGGAUUAGGUAGUUGGUGGGGUAAAGGCCUACCAAGCCUGCGAUCUCUAACUGGUCUGAGAGGAUGGCCAGCCACACUGGAACUGAGACACGGUCCAGACUCCUACGGGAGGCAGCAGUGGGGAAUAUUGCGCAAUGGGGGAAACCCUGACGCAGCCAUGCCGCGUGAAUGAAGAAGGCCUUCGGGUUGUAAAGUUCUUUCGGUAUUGAGGAAGGUUGAUGUGUUAAUAGUACAUCAAAUUGACGUUAAAUACAGAAGAAGCACCGGCUAACUCCGUGCCAGCAGCCGCGGUAAUACGGAGGGUGCGAGCGUUAAUCGGAAUAACUGGGCGUAAAGGGCACGCAGGCGGUUAUUUAAGUGAGGUGUGAAAGCCCCGGGCUUAACCUGGGAAUUGCAUUUCAGACUGGGUAACUAGAGUACUUUAGGGAGGGGUAGAAUUCCACGUGUAGCGGUGAAAUGCGUAGAGAUGUGGAGGAAUACCGAAGGCGAAGGCAGCCCCUUGGGAAUGUACUGACGCUCAUGUGCGAAAGCGUGGGGAGCAAACAGG
RNAcentral lists this ribosomal RNA (759 nucleotides) under Haemophilus influenzae. Its description in RNAcentral is "bacterial SSU rRNA". It matches the Rfam family "Bacterial small subunit ribosomal RNA", at positions 28 to 776 of the family's 1533-position model. Lineage: Bacteria; Pseudomonadati; Pseudomonadota; Gammaproteobacteria; Pasteurellales; Pasteurellaceae. The record is from RNAcentral.